Non-coding RNA from Triticum aestivum (bread wheat), 135 nucleotides. The record is from Rfam. Lineage: Eukaryota; Viridiplantae; Streptophyta; Magnoliopsida; Poales; Poaceae.
UUUGUACUUCCUCCGUCCGAAAAUACUUGUCAUCAAAAUUGAUAAAAGGGGAUGCAUCUAGACGUAUUUUAGUUCUAGAUACACCUGUUUUUGUCCAUUUUGAUGACAAGUAUUUUCGGACGGAGGAAGUACUAG